This 508-nucleotide ribosomal RNA is filed under the name uncultured Glomus. RNAcentral describes it as "SSU rRNA". It matches the Rfam family "Eukaryotic small subunit ribosomal RNA", at positions 571 to 1089 of the family's 1831-position model. The record is from RNAcentral. Lineage: Eukaryota; Fungi; Glomeromycota; Glomeromycetes; Glomerales; Glomeraceae.
AGCAGCCGCGGUAAUUCCAGCUCCAAUAGCGUAUAUUAAAGUUGUUGCAGUUAAAAAGCUCGUAGUUGAAUUUCGGGGUUAGUAGGUUGGUCAUGCCUCUGGUAUGUACUGGUCUCACUGAUUCCUCCUUCCUGAUGARCCKUAAUGCCAUUAAUUUGGUGUUKYGGGGAAUUUGGACUGUUACUUUGAAAAAAUUAGAGUGUUUAAAGCAAGCUAACGCUUGAAUACAUUAGCAUGGAAUAAUGAAAUAGGACGUUCGAUCCUAUUUUGUUGGUUUCUAGGAUUGACGUAAUGAUUAAUAGGGAUAGUUGGGGGCAUUAGUAUUCAAUUGUCAGAGGUGAAAUUCUUGGAUUUAUUGAAGACUAACUACUGCGAAAGCAUUUGCCAAGGAUGUUUUCAUUAAUCAAGAACGAAAGUUAUGGGAUCGAAGACGAUCAKAUACCGUCGUAGUCUUAACCAUAAACUAUGCCGACUAGGGAUCGGAUGAUGUUAAUUUUUUAAUGACUCA